RNAcentral lists this ribosomal RNA (495 nucleotides) under uncultured bacterium. RNAcentral's name for it is "partial 16S ribosomal RNA". It matches the Rfam family "Bacterial small subunit ribosomal RNA", at positions 28 to 507 of the family's 1533-position model. The record is from RNAcentral.
GACGAACGCUGGCGGCGUGCCUAAUACAUGCAAGUAGAACGCUGAAGGAGGAGCUUGCUUCUCUGGAUGAGUUGCGAACGGGUGAGUAACGCGUAGGUAACCUGCCUGGUAGCGGGGGAUAACUAUUGGAAACGAUAGCUAAUACCGCAUAAUAGUAGAUGUUGCAUGACAUUUGCUUAAAAGUUGCAAUUGCAUCACUACCAGAUGGGCCUGCGUUGUAUUAGCUAGUUGGUGAGGUAACGGCUCACCAAGGCAACGAUGCAUAGCCGACCUGUGAGGGGGAUCGGCCAGACUGGGACGGAGACACGGCCCAGAGUCCUACGGGAGGCAGCAGUAGGGAAUCUUCGGCAAGGGACGGAAGUCUGACCGAGCAACGCCGAGUGAGUGAAGAAGGUUUUCGGAUCGGAAAGCUCUGUUGUAAGAGAAGAACGAGUGUGAGAGUGGAAAGUUCACAGUGUGACGGUAUCUUACCAGAAAGGGACGGCUAACUACGUG